This 222-nucleotide ribosomal RNA is filed under the name uncultured bacterium. RNAcentral's name for it is "partial 16S ribosomal RNA". It matches the Rfam family "Bacterial small subunit ribosomal RNA", at positions 524 to 746 of the family's 1533-position model. The record is from RNAcentral.
UACGUAGGGCGCGAGCGUUGUCCGGAAUCAUUGGGCGUAAAGAGCGUGUAGGUGGACUGGAAGGUCUGGUGUGAAAGCCCGGGGCUCAACCCCGGAGGGUCACUGGAAACCAACAGUCUUGAGUCCGGAAGAGGAGAGUGGAAUCCUGGUGUAGCGGUGGAAUGCGCAGAUAUCAGGAGGAACACCAAUGGCGAAGGCAGCUCUCUGGUACGUGACUGACAC